AUGUUUGUCCGGCAAUACGAAGGCUUUGGGUCGCCCAAUUAAAAUCGAUGAUCGGUCUUUGAAAUUGGAACGUGGUCACUCUGUUAGAAUCUGUGUGGAGAUCGAUCUUUCUUCUCCCCUCCAUCAGCGAGUGUGGAUCGGUGCUGCCCAGACCUGGUAUUUCUAGGUUGCUCGUAUAAUAACUUGCCUUUCUCUACUUUCGUUGUGGUUGUGUUGGCCACAAGCUGUCGGAUUGCUCUACUAGGCUGGUUGAGAGGCAGAGUGCUGGUGUCCAGAGGUUGGAUGCCCUUGGAAACGAGGGAACCCUUCUGGUGCCCACUUUGGCAUCAUCCACUAGUGGGAAUGUUCGGCCGACGGUGGAGGGUGAAGUUUAUGGACCUUGGAUUAGGGUCCAGCGGCGUGGUUCCAGGAAGAGAUUUGUGCCGGCGCUGGGAAGGGGAUUGGCAGUGGCGGCGGAGGCUGUUCCUUCUUCCACACGUGAGGCGCACGUGGUGUAACGGUCUUCUGGGGAAGCUGGAUGUUAUUACCGUGCAGGGGGCUUGAGGACAAAUGAUGCUUUUUUUACUCAGGUGGAGCGAUUGGGGGACCCCAAGGCAGAUGGGGUUUCACCCGGAUCCAGCUGGCUCGUUGGAACAGAUGCCGAGUCAGAUGGGGUUUCACCCGGAUCCAGCUGGAUCGUUGGAACAGAUGCCGAGUCAGGCCCACCCCCGCGGGCCUGAGUUGGAGGCCACGAGGCUGUCAACUGGAGUCUGCUUCAGCUUACGUGCUCCUGUGGUACCCAAACCCGUGGAGAUGCCGUUGCUGAGUCAAGCCCAGCCUGGUGCGAAGCGUCAGGUGCUGAUGGGGAGCCCGAGGCGGGCUGUUGUGACCGCCUGUGUUGGCUCGUCUAGCAUCGUGGUGCCUCGGCAUCGUCAUUGGAUUUGAUGAUCUCACUCCUCCCCCGCCGACGGUUGAGGUGUAGGGGGUAUAUAUCCCUUCUGCUCCUGUGCAGGGGAAGAGGGGGAGUAAGGAGGUGGCCAAGGCCAAUGUCACCACAAUGAUCUCACUGCUAAAGCCCAAGAGAGGACCGGGUUGCGGCUCCAAGGCCUCUCAUGGGGAAACCCAUUCGGACGAGAUAGUGAUUAGGAGGGUUGCAAGGAGACUGGGUCGUUCUUGGUGCUUUACCGCGUUUCCGUCGGCGGGAGCCUCUGGUGGCAUCGCGCUGCUAUGGAACGCAUCAUUUGUCAAGACCCAGGUGCUUUCGAUCCAUUCUCAUUACUUCAAUGCUGCGGUCAGAUUUAUGAAUUCGGAUCCGUGGAUUUUAACUGGUGGUUAUGCUAGAGUUUCUAUUACAAAUCGAAACUUACUGUGGAAUUCUCUUGGUGCAAUUGAUCUAAAUCAUUUUCCAUGGAUAAUUUGUGGAGACUAUAAUUGUAUUUCUUGUGCACAAGACAUACUGGGGGUACCGCUUUUACG
Molecule: non-coding RNA, 1455 nt
Organism: Musa acuminata subsp. malaccensis (wild Malaysian banana)
Lineage: Eukaryota; Viridiplantae; Streptophyta; Magnoliopsida; Zingiberales; Musaceae
Source: RefSeq, a predicted model, not a curated record